This 440-nucleotide ribosomal RNA is filed under the name uncultured bacterium. RNAcentral's name for it is "partial 16S ribosomal RNA". It matches the Rfam family "Bacterial small subunit ribosomal RNA", at positions 338 to 795 of the family's 1533-position model. The record is from RNAcentral.
CCUACGGGGGGCUGCAGUGGGGAAUAUUGGACAAUGGGGGAAACCCUGAUCCAGCCAUGCCGCGUGAGUGAUGAAGGCCUUAGGGUUGUAAAGCUCUUUUGUCAGGGAAGAUGAUGACGGUACCUGAAGAAUAAGCACCGGCUAACUUCGUGCCAGCAGCCGCGGUAAUACGAAGGGUGCUAGCGUUGUUCGGAAUCACUGGGCGUAAAGCGCGCGUAGGCGGCUUAACAAGUCAGGGGUGAAAUCCCAGAGCUUAACUCUGGAACUGCCUUUGAAACUGUUAAGCUGGAGUGUCGGAGGGGAUGGCGGAAUUGCUAAUGUAGAGGUGAAAUUCGUAGAUAUUAGCAGGAACACCGGUGGCGAAGGCGGCCAUCUGGACGACAACUGACGCUGAGGCGCGAAAGCGUGGGGAUCAAACAGGAUUAGAUACCCUAGUAGUC